RNAcentral lists this ribosomal RNA (492 nucleotides) under uncultured bacterium. RNAcentral's name for it is "partial 16S ribosomal RNA". It matches the Rfam family "Bacterial small subunit ribosomal RNA", at positions 29 to 507 of the family's 1533-position model. The record is from RNAcentral.
AGUGAACGCUGGCGGUAGGCCUAACACAUGCAAGUCGAACGGCAGCACAGUAAGAGCUUGCUCUUACGGGUGGCGAGUGGCGGACGGGUGAGGAAUACAUCGGAAUCUACUUUUUCGUGGGGGAUAACGUAGGGAAAAUUACGCUAAUACCGCAUACGACCUACGGGUGAAAGCAUGGGAUCUUCGGACCUUGCGCGAUUGAAUGAGCAGAUGUCGGAUUAGCUAGUUGGAGGGGUAAAGGCCCACCAAGGCGACGAUCCGUAGCUGGUCUGAGAGGAUGAUCAGCCACACUGGAACUGAGACACGGUCCAGACUCCUACGGGAGGCAGCAGUGGGGAAUAUUGGACAAUGGGCGAAAGCCUGAUCCAGCCAUGCCGCGUGGGUGAAGAAGGCCUUCGGGUUGUAAAGCCCUUUUGUUGGGAAAGAAAAGCAGCAGGUUAAUACCCCGCUGUUCUGACGGUACCCAAAGAAUAAGCACCGGCUAACUUCGUG